GAAGAGCGUGGGCGGGGGCGGCGGGGGCGGUGGCGGCGCCGGGUCGCUCGACGAGCCGACCCAGCUGGCGGGCAGGAGGAGGUGCCGGAGGAGGUGGAAGGCGGGCCUCGCAAGGCUCGCGAUGGCGGCGCGGUAGAGGUACUUACCGGCGGUCGACGCGACGGAGGCAGGGUCCGCGAAGGCGAGUCUGGAAGGAGGAGAGUCGAGGCUCCGGGGAUCGGGCCUGUUGCUCCGACGUGACCUUGGCGGCGUUGUCGUCGGGCACGUCCUACGGCAGCUCCUCUUAUUCCACUAACUGUUACCACGGUACCACCCACGGCUCCUACUCGGCCGGCUGGCACCCUUCUCGUGACGGUACAAACUCACGUUGUAGACGAAACUCUACCGGCUGCUGGGCCACCAGUGAAGAACGCCGGUAGAGAAGACGACCGGAACAAACAUGGUCACCGACGUAUAAGUAAGGUGGGUGUUCCUUACGGGACAGACGUUUCCACUCCAGUGACUUCCUUUGUAAUGAGGAUAGAUACCCUCUCCCUUAAGUUGAAGACUACACCUCUUCUUUCAGCGUCUGCUACCGUUACACAGGUCAGGAUUGUAAGGGCGGUCCGGUGUACCCUUGGCCGAGCUCUCAAAAGCUGUUGUCAAGGUAGUAAACGCGGGUUAAAGAGCAUCCGAACCGCUCCGCGUGCCCUAUAAUAGAAGAACCUCUGCGUAAGAACUAGUCGUCUAAUACUGAUCGCGCUCAUCCAAACUUCCCGGAGGUCUUAGUAGACAGGUCCUCUACUAUCUAGUACGAGUGGUCUGACCGGCAGAUUCGGCUUAAUGAUGGUCCUACUCUCGUUCCUCCGACGUUUCCCUUCGUCUUUUAGGAUGUAAACAAAGAAGAAGAUGAGGUCUGUCGCCCGACGGUCCUUCGUCGCGCGGUCUAGGAGGAUCCGCAUCAAGUUCAGGUGAAAGGAGCCUUCCUUAACUAAAUAACGUUGCGGAAUGGGAACAACCGGAACGUUUAUGCCUUUCCAACCGUUGACGUCACUCGCUAGAAUCUUCUUAUAGGUCCGGUUCGGAGGCUCGUAGUUGAAGCAGUUUAAACGGUUUAGUACUCGGCGGUCAACUACCUUAAGUACGACGACGUCGUGGCAGACGUCUAGUUUGAAGAUUAAGUUCGUGUUACCGACACUAAGUCCUCCUACGACGAAAAUGACUUUCGCAUCCUCUUGGAUCGUUACGUCCCAGCAGUUCUUGGGACUCCUCCUCCCCUUCUUCGCUGCGGAAUCCAAGUAACCUACACCUACCACCGCUUUGUGUGGCCUUGUUCUCUUCCGCCAACUUGAUUUCGAUUCUUCCGGCUUGGCUCGUAACGUCUCCGAAGUCAUAACGAGGUCAAAAAUGCGACUAGACACCAACAAGAACGAUGACCCGUUUCUCCGUACAAUUCAGCGUUAUUUCUUCAUAAGGGAAAUGAAGAUACUAUUAGAGU
Molecule: ribosomal RNA, 1477 nt
Filed under: Triticum aestivum (bread wheat)
Lineage: Eukaryota; Viridiplantae; Streptophyta; Magnoliopsida; Poales; Poaceae
Description: partial small subunit ribosomal RNA
Source: RNAcentral